RNAcentral lists this transfer RNA (70 nucleotides) under Dipodomys ordii (Ord's kangaroo rat). It matches the Rfam family "tRNA". From Rfam's summary of the family: Transfer RNA (tRNA) molecules are approximately 80 nucleotides in length. Their secondary structure includes four short double-helical elements and three loops (D, anti-codon, and T loops). Further hydrogen bonds mediate the characteristic L-shaped molecular structure. tRNAs have two regions of fundamental functional importance: the anti-codon, which is responsible for specific mRNA codon recognition, and the 3' end, to which the tRNAs corresponding amino acid is attached (by aminoacyl-tRNA synthetases). tRNAs cope with the degeneracy of the genetic code in two manners: having more than one tRNA (with a specific anti-codon) for a particular amino acid; and 'wobble' base-pairing, i.e. permitting non-standard base-pairing at the 3rd anti-codon position. Lineage: Eukaryota; Metazoa; Chordata; Mammalia; Rodentia; Heteromyidae. The record is from Rfam by way of RNAcentral.
GGGAAUGUAGCUUAGUGGUAGAGUGCUUGCCUAACAGGCAGGAAGCCCUGGGUUCAAUUCCUUAGUGCCA